GAUGAACGCUAGCUACAGGCUUAACACAUGCAAGUCGAGGGGCAGCAUGACGAUAGCUUGCUAUUGUCGAUGGCGACCGGCGCACGGGUGAGUAACGCGUAUCCAACCUGCCCACCACUUGGGGAUAACCUUGCGAAAGUAAGGCUAAUACCCAAUGAUAUCCCACGAAGGCAUCGGAAUGGGAUUAAAGAUUUAUCGGUGAUGGAUGGGGAUGCGUCUGAUUAGCUUGUUGGCGGGGUAACGGCCCACCAAGGCGACGAUCAGUAGGGGUUCUGAGAGGAAGGUCCCCCACAUUGGAACUGAGACACGGUCCAAACUCCUACGGGAGGCAGCAGUGAGGAAUAUUGGUCAAUGGGCGAGAGCCUGAACCAGCCAAGUAGCGUGCAGGACGACGGCCCUAUGGGUUGUAAACUGCUUUUAUAAGGGAAUAAAGUGAGUCUCGUGAGACUUUUUGCAUGUACCUAUGAAUAAGGACCGGCUAAUUCCGUGCCAGCAGCC
This 498-nucleotide ribosomal RNA is filed under the name uncultured bacterium. RNAcentral describes it as "bacterial SSU rRNA". It matches the Rfam family "Bacterial small subunit ribosomal RNA", at positions 28 to 516 of the family's 1533-position model. The record is from RNAcentral.